AAAGAUCGCAGCCUCGUUCCACUCGACAGCUCCUACGCCGAUCCUGUAGGAGCUGUCGAGUGGAACGAGGCUGCGAUCUUU
RNAcentral lists this unclassified non-coding RNA (81 nucleotides) under Pseudomonas lini. The record is from RNAcentral. Lineage: Bacteria; Pseudomonadati; Pseudomonadota; Gammaproteobacteria; Pseudomonadales; Pseudomonadaceae.